This 1421-nucleotide long non-coding RNA is filed under the name Felis catus (domestic cat). RNAcentral describes it as "lncRNA (ENSFCAG00000041145.2)". The record is from RNAcentral. Lineage: Eukaryota; Metazoa; Chordata; Mammalia; Carnivora; Felidae.
CGAGAUCGUGACCUGGCUGAAGCCGGACGCUUAACCGACUGCGCCACCCAGGCGCCCCUGUCCUUGCUAUUUUAACAAGAGUGCAAGGGAGCAUUUAAUUUUAGUAGGAAAAGCUUAUCCUUGCUUCUUAUAGGGAAUAUUCAUUUACGUACCUUCCAAUUACCUAUUACAAAUAAUUAAUCAAAUGAUGUACUAUACUAAUAUAGUCUCAUUUUUCUCAUCCUUAUAAGUUAGUGAAAAAUACACAAAUGAAAACACCUCUGUUGGCAUAACAGAUUCACUGAGAAAUAAAAGCUUUCAAUCCGCACAUGCACACAAAAAAUCAGGAAAAACAUAGUGGCUCACAGGUAGAGUCAAUGCUUGUAAAGUAAACACAGGAUUUAUAUUUCAGAGUUUAAGAGGAAAAAAAUUAGUCAGUAUAUUCACAUGUCAAAUCCAUUUUUGUUUAAACAGACCGGGAAUGAGAUGACACUUAGAAGUGAAGUCUACAUUUACGAAGAACCAAAUGGGGUCCCAGCACACUAAAGGCGAUGUGGGGCCACUGACGUGUCUGAGGAGGAGAGUGAGCAGGCCAGAGCUGUGACUCCAGACAAAUACCUGGGCAGCCGCGUUCUCCAUAGCAUCGUGGGACAGAGACAGAAUAAGAGAAAAGAUACUUUAUAAGCUCAAGAAAUGAAGCACACUGCUCUUCUUCUCGGAUUUAUUACAUCUGCUGAGAAAGUCUUCACUGGCCUCCUUCUGGAACAGAGAUGCAGCGGAACCAAGGCUCAAGUAGUUAAAGAAGCCUUAGAUGACAUCCCUCCACAGAGAGAGGGACACGAAGAUUCAGAAACGAUAAACCGAGAGGUGAUGAGUCAACUCACAGAGCUACAUAAAUAUUGUAUAGUCUUAAUUGUUCCAGGAACUUAAAAUCUACGUGGAAGAAAAUCUUCUCUUCAUACAAAGUUUUACCAUGAACUGGACAAAUGCUUUGACCAAAUCCUGUAAGUGAAAAGAGUAGCUUCAAAUAACAGGGAGAUGAGAAAUUAGAUUUUUACAAAUGUUUGGUAUUGAAGUAUAGAGGAAAUGUAGUUUCGGGUGUACCACAUAGUGAUUCGACAAGUGCGUGCAUUAUGCAGUGCCUGUCACCACCUGUCACCAUACAAGACAUUGUUACAGUAUUGUGGGCUAUCUUCCCUACGCUGUACUUUUCAUUCCUGCGACUUAUUUUUUUAUUUAAAUUUUUUUAUGUUUAUUUAUUUUUGAGAGAGAGGAAGACAGAAUGCUAGCAGGGGAGUGACAGAGAGAGAGGGAGACACAGAAUCGGAAGCAGGCUCCAGGCUCUGUGUUGUCAGGGCCUGAUGCAGGGUUUGAAACUACAGGCUGUGACAUCAUGACCCGAGCCAAAGUUGAACGCUUAACCAACUGAACCACCCAGGUGC